This 509-nucleotide ribosomal RNA is filed under the name uncultured bacterium. Its description in RNAcentral is "bacterial SSU rRNA". It matches the Rfam family "Bacterial small subunit ribosomal RNA", at positions 791 to 1318 of the family's 1533-position model. The record is from RNAcentral.
UAGUCCACACCGUAAACGAUGAGAGCUAGUUGUCUGCAAGCAUGCUUGUAGGUGACGCAGCUAACGCAUUAAGCUCUCCGCCUGGGGAGUACGGUCGCAAGAUUAAAACUCAAAGAAAUUGACGGGGGCCCGCACAAGCGGUGGAGCAUGUGGUUUAAUUCGAAGCAACGCGCAGAACCUUACCUACCCUUGACAUGCCGGUCGCGAUUUCCAGAGAUGGAUUUCUUCAAUUCGGUUGGACCGUGCACAGGUGCUGCAUGGCCGUCGUCAGCUCGUGUCGUGAGAUGUUGGGUUAAGUCCCGCAACGAGCGCAACCCUCACUUUUAGUUGCCAGCAUUUAGUUGGGCACUCUAGAAGAACUGCCGGUGCUAAGCCGGAGGAAGUGGGGAUGACGUCAGGUCCUCAUGGCCCUUACGGGUAGGGCUACACACGUGCUACAAUGGCGCUGACAGAGGUAAUUACUAAACCGUAAAGUCGUCUACGUACGGUACGUAGUUCGUCCUCGUCGA